GAAAUGCGAUAAGUAAUGUGAAUUGCAGAAUUCAGUGAAUCAUCGAAUCUUUGAACGCACAUUGCGCCCCCUGGUAUUCCGGGGGGCAUGCCUGUUCGAGCGUCAUUACAACCCUCAAGCUCUGCUUGGUAUUGGGCCUCGCCGGUUCCGGCGGGCCUCAAAGUCAGUGGCGGUGCCGUCCAGCUCCGAGCGCAGUAAUUCUUCUCGCUCCGGUGCCCUGGGCGCGUGCUCGCCAGCAACCCCCAAUUUUUUCAGGUUGACCUCGGAUCAGGUAGGGAUACCCGCUGAACUUAA
Molecule: unclassified non-coding RNA, 294 nt
Filed under: uncultured Ascomycota
Lineage: Eukaryota; Fungi; Ascomycota
Description: sequence contains ITS1
Rfam family: 5.8S ribosomal RNA (bases 1-105)
Source: RNAcentral